UUGCGCUCGCCCGGCGCUUCGCCGUUCGCCGCGUGGAUCUCGGGAGGGACGACGCGUGGAGCUCGGGUACGGCAACGCGGAUCUCGGCUUCACACGGCUCCCAGCGGCAACGCGCCGGCGUCCGCGCGGGACGACGGCGGUCGUGACUGUCGGGAGAGCCGAUGCCUUCGUCCAGAGCUGUCGGGCGUGCGUGCUGCCGCGACCUGGACGGCUCGAAUCGGAUCUGCGACGAAUGGCGCGGGCAACCGGAGCUGCGGCGGACUGACGGCGCCCAAGGACGACGCGUCGGGUGCGGCCGGCGCUUCGCCGUUAGUCAGAUCUGCUACGUAG
Molecule: unclassified non-coding RNA, 330 nt
Filed under: Zea mays
Lineage: Eukaryota; Viridiplantae; Streptophyta; Magnoliopsida; Poales; Poaceae
Description: misc RNA Zm00001eb319910
Source: RNAcentral